This 496-nucleotide long non-coding RNA is filed under the name Cyanistes caeruleus (blue tit). Its description in RNAcentral is "lncRNA (ENSCCEG00000022819.1)". Lineage: Eukaryota; Metazoa; Chordata; Aves; Passeriformes; Paridae. The record is from RNAcentral.
ACAAAGCUAUUUGGAUCUUUCAUAGACACUGUAGUAGGAAAUCCAUCAAAAUAUAAACUCAGUGUUUACUUUUCUUUUUUUCUUCCCCAAGAACAUUUCAAAUAUACCACAUUGUCACCAGAGGCAAAUUGCAGCAUAGCUCUGUGUGUCUUUUAUAUGAAGAUUGUACUGUUGCUUUCAUGCUGUGUGAUUCCAUUAAUUUUCAUUAUGAACUAUACUUGCCUCUUUCAUCUCAGGAAGAAAAGACUAUGACUGGAGGGCAAUAUCGAGGGAGCUUCUGAUGCAAUGAGUCACUUUAAGGACACAGAAUCUCCUGCCCAUGCUGAAAGGACCAAUAUUUUCAUUGGAAGACAAAAAAAGUAAGAGGAAGUAAAAUGGUUGGAAAAGCCUCCUUUAACAGCUUGGAAGGAGAUAUAAAGAAGGAGGUGAAGAACAGAAAACAUUGUCUAAAGAUGAAGCUCCAGACCUUGGACUAUUUCCUGAUUCAGAAUGUGUG